Molecule: ribosomal RNA, 863 nt
Filed under: uncultured bacterium
Lineage: Bacteria
Description: bacterial SSU rRNA
Rfam family: Bacterial small subunit ribosomal RNA
Source: RNAcentral
AGAGUUUGAUCCUGGCUCAGAUUGAAUGCUGGCGGCAGGCUUAAUACAUGCAAGUCGAACGGUAACAGCAGAAAAGCUUGCUUUUUUGGCUGACGAGUGGCGGACGGGUGAGUAAUACCUAGGAAACUGCCUAAACGAGGGGGAUAACAUUUGGAAACGAGUGCUAAUACCGCAUAAUACUGAGAAGUCAAAGGUUGGUUUACCAAUCGCGUUUAGAUGUGCCUAGGAGGGAUUAGCUAGUUGGUGGGGUAAAGGCCUACCAAGGCGAUGAUCUCUAGCUGGUCUGAGAGGAUGACCAGCCACACUGGAACUGAGACACGGUCCAGACUCCUACGGGAGGCAGCAGUAGGGAAUAUUGCACAAUGGGGGGAACCCUGAUGCAGCCAUGCCGCGUGUGUGAAGAAGGCCUUCGGGUUGUAAAGCACUUUCAGUUUGGAGGAAGGUAUUUGAGUUAAUAGCUUAGAUAUUUGACGUUACAAACAGAAGAAGCACCGGCUAACUCCGUGCCAGCAGCCGCGGUAAUACGGAGGGUGCGAGCGUUAAUCGGAAUAACUGGGCGUAAAGAGCUCGUAGGUGGUUAAUUAAGUCAGAUGUGAAAGCCCUGGGCUUAACCUAGGAUGUGCAUUUGAAACUGGUUAACUAGAGUACUGUAGAGGGAGGUAGAAUUCCAGGUGUAGCGGUGAAAUGCGUAGAUAUCUGGAGGAAUACCAGUGGCGAAGGCGGCCUCCUGGACAGAGACUGACGCUGAGGAGCGAAAGCGUGGGGAGCAAACAGGAUUAGAUACCCUGGUAGUCCACGCCGUAAACGAUGUCAAUUUGAAGCUUGUUUUCAAAAAGAAGUGGGUUUCGUACCUAACCCCCUAA